GCCGCCGUAGCUCAGCCGGGUAGAGCGCCGGCCUUGUAAGCCCCCUUUCCUAAGGCCCGGGAAAGCCGGUGGUCGCGGGUUCAAGUCCCGCCGGCGGCU
RNAcentral lists this transfer RNA (99 nucleotides) under Thermogladius calderae 1633. Its description in RNAcentral is "Thermogladius cellulolyticus 1633 tRNA". It matches the Rfam family "tRNA". Rfam says of the family: Transfer RNA (tRNA) molecules are approximately 80 nucleotides in length. Their secondary structure includes four short double-helical elements and three loops (D, anti-codon, and T loops). Lineage: Archaea; Thermoproteati; Thermoproteota; Thermoprotei; Desulfurococcales; Desulfurococcaceae. The record is from Rfam by way of RNAcentral.